Molecule: long non-coding RNA, 1156 nt
Filed under: Gallus gallus (chicken)
Lineage: Eukaryota; Metazoa; Chordata; Aves; Galliformes; Phasianidae
Source: RNAcentral
GGCUGUGGUCCGCAGCAUAGCAGUGUGAUGAAUGCUGCAGUUUGCCUCUGCCUUCCUAUACUGAUUGAUAGCAAUGGCAGCAGAGGGAGUGUGCGUUCUUACAUCCAUUUUCUUACACCUUUUGGUGGAGGCCUAACUACUGGGCAUGCUAAGGGACCACAUUGUCUGCUGCUUACUUGCUAUUCUUCUUAGAUACCUAGGGAAGCUCACAGGUUUUCAACUCUAGUAAUUUUUGUAUGCCUUUGCAAGGAGGGAAAGAAAUAGCAUGGUAUUUUUAACAGUAAUUAAAAACCAAUAAUAAGUUGCAAAAAUCAAAUACAGCUGUUUGUUGCAAGAGCUCUUCACGCUGGCUCACCUCCCACUUCUGGACACUAGAGGCCAUUCUGUUCUUUCACAUCUCAAAUACCUGCUGAUUUCUUAGUGGAAGUCCAGCUGGACUUAACCCCAAGCCAGCAAAAAUUCCUUAGAGGAAUAACGAGCUCUGGAGUACACAGUAAGGGGGAGAGAAAGUUGGAGAGUGCAGAAUGAUUAGUAGCAGCAAGUGGAUGAGUAGAUAUGUUUUCUCACGUUGGCUGGUUGGUUUUCGAAUAUAUGCUUUCAGAAGUUUCUUUGGGAAAUGUUAAGUGACCUGUUCCUCUGCAUCCUGAGUUUAGUACAUGCUUACUCCUUCAGAAAAAAAAAAGAGUAUCGUUUGUCUUAACGACAAACAAUAUCAUGAUGAUUAUUUUAAUAGUUUCCUUUAAAUUAUUAUAUUUAGAUAGCAUGAUAACAUGUCAUCAAUCAGCUGCUUCCCAGUAUGCUGCAAAACAGCCAGUCACUUCUUUAAAAGUCUCAGAAUGGUGGGUAAUCUAACUCUGAGCAUGCCAGGUGAGUUACAUGAAGAAGUAAAGCAGUGGUUGACUGAAUUAAAAGUCUCCAGAGAAUCACUGUAAAAUUAUGUAUUUUCAUGAAUAGUUUUUACACAACUUGUACCACAACAUUUCUGCUCUUAGCUUAUUGCCAAGCCAGUUGAAUUCUCCUUCUGUAUCCUAGCGUCUUCCUUAUCCAUCUUCUUGGCCUUCUGCUGAGUCCUUCUUUCUGCUAUCUCCAUUCUCCUUAGUGUGCUGAUAUGAAGUCAAAACUAAUAAACCUGAAACCUUUAAAAACAGAACUGUUU